Molecule: ribosomal RNA, 459 nt
Filed under: uncultured bacterium
Lineage: Bacteria
Description: partial 16S ribosomal RNA
Rfam family: Bacterial small subunit ribosomal RNA
Source: RNAcentral
CCUACGUGAGGCAGCAGUGAGGAAUAUUGGUCAAUGGUCGGGAGACUGAACCAGCCAAGCCGCGUGAGGGAUGAAGGUACAGAGUAUCGUAAACCUCUUUUGUCAGGGAACAAAGGCGGGGACGCGUCCCCGGAUGAGUGUACCUGAAGAAAAAGCAUCGGCGAACUCCGUGCCAGCAGCCGCGGUAAUACGGAGGAUGCGAGCGUUAUCCGGAUUUAUUUGGUUUAAAGGUGGCGCAGGCGGUCUGUUAAGUCAGCGGUCAAAGCCCGGGGCUCAACCCCGGCCCGCCGUUGAAACUGGCAGUCUCGAGUUGGAGAGAAGUAUGCGGAAUGCGCGGUGUAGCGGUGAAAGUCAUAGAUAUCGCGCAGAACUCCGAUUGCGAAGGCAGCAUGCCGGCUCCACACUGACGCUGAGGCACGAAAGCGUGGGUAUCGAACAGGAUUAGAUACCCGAGUAGUC